Molecule: transfer RNA, 76 nt
Filed under: Arthrobacter phage Atuin
Lineage: Duplodnaviria; Heunggongvirae; Uroviricota; Caudoviricetes
Description: tRNA-Met
Rfam family: tRNA
About the family: Transfer RNA (tRNA) molecules are approximately 80 nucleotides in length.
Source: RNAcentral
UGGGUUAUAGCUCAGCCGGUAGAGCAGGGAUCUCAUAAAUCCUCGGUCACGGGUUCGAGUCCCGUUAGCCCAACCA